Molecule: non-coding RNA, 27 nt
Filed under: Homo sapiens (human)
Lineage: Eukaryota; Metazoa; Chordata; Mammalia; Primates; Hominidae
Source: RNAcentral
CUGAGUGUCUGUAUGCCUGGUGGGCUU